UACGUAGGUCCCGAGCGUUGUCCGGAUUUAUUGGGCGUAAAGCGAGCGCAGGUGGUUUAUUAAGUCUGGUGUAAAAGGCAGUGGCUCAACCAUCCUAUGCAUUGGAAACUGGUAGACUUGAGUGCAGGAGAGGAGAGUGGAAUUCCAUGUGUAGCGGUGAAAUGCGUAGAUAUAUGGAGGAACACCGGUGGCGAAAGCGGCUCUCUGGCCUGUAACUGACACUGAGGCUCGAAAGCGUGGGGAGCAAACAGG
RNAcentral lists this ribosomal RNA (252 nucleotides) under uncultured bacterium. RNAcentral describes it as "partial 16S ribosomal RNA". It matches the Rfam family "Bacterial small subunit ribosomal RNA", at positions 524 to 776 of the family's 1533-position model. The record is from RNAcentral.